AACGCGAAGAACCUUACCAACCUUUGACAUCCUGAUCGCGGGCACCAGAGAUGGAGCCUUUCAGUUCGGCUGGAUCAGAGACAGGUGCUGCAUGGCUGUCGUCAGCUCGUGUCGUGAGAUGUUGGGUUAAGUCCCGCAACGAGCGCAACCCUCGCCCUUAGUUGCCAUCAUUUAGUUGGGCACUCUAAGGGGACUGCCGGUGAUAAGCCGCGAGGAAGGUGGGGAUGACGUCAAGUCCUCAUGGCCCUUACAGGUUGGGCUACACACGUGCUACAAUGGCGGUGACAAUGGGAUGCAAUGGAGCAAUCCUGCGCAAAUCUCAAAAAGCCGUCUCAGUUCGGAUUGUGCUCUGCAACUCGAGCACAUGAAGUUGGAAUCGCUAGUAAUCGCAGAUCAGCACGCUGCGUGAAUACGUCCCGGCCUUGUACACACCGAGACGUA
RNAcentral lists this ribosomal RNA (441 nucleotides) under uncultured bacterium. RNAcentral's name for it is "bacterial SSU rRNA". It matches the Rfam family "Bacterial small subunit ribosomal RNA", at positions 958 to 1398 of the family's 1533-position model. The record is from RNAcentral.